AGUAACCUGCCCUGGAGUGGGGAAUAACAGCUGGAAACAGCUGCUAACACCGCAUAAUGCAGUUGGGCCGCAUGGCUCUGACUGCCAAAGAUUUAUCGCUCUGGGAUGGACUCGCGUCUGAUUAGCUAGUUGGUGGGGCAACGGCCCACCAAGGCGACGAUCAGUAGCCGGACUGAGAGGUUGGCCGGCCACAUUGGGACUGAGACACGGCCCAGACUCCUACGGGAGGCAGCAG
Molecule: ribosomal RNA, 235 nt
Filed under: uncultured bacterium
Lineage: Bacteria
Description: partial 16S ribosomal RNA
Rfam family: Bacterial small subunit ribosomal RNA
Source: RNAcentral